Molecule: long non-coding RNA, 247 nt
Organism: Clupea harengus (Atlantic herring)
Lineage: Eukaryota; Metazoa; Chordata; Actinopteri; Clupeiformes; Clupeidae
Exons: 3
Source: RefSeq, a predicted model, not a curated record
CACACAACAUGGGCACCACCUCUCACUGUACAGAAAAUGCAGCUUGCUUCCCUGUUGCAGGUGUUUAAAUCCCAUGAGAGGGUUUGUCAUGUGUCAUUUGACCUCCAUGUUGAGCAUAAAAGACGCAGCAGAGACACAGAACAGACUGCAUUUUCACCAGAUAUCAGAGGGACAGAUCAACAAACUCUUCACGCUUGUCUACAAAAAUGGGAAAACAAAUGUUUGCACUUCGCGACGCGAUCAUGGU